Phascolarctos cinereus (koala) is the source of this 888-nucleotide non-coding RNA. Lineage: Eukaryota; Metazoa; Chordata; Mammalia; Diprotodontia; Phascolarctidae. The record is from RefSeq and is a predicted model, not a curated record.
UCUUUCCUCAUCCUUUCUCUUUAACCCUUCUCACUUCAUCCUAUCCCUCUGCUUCUUUCUCUCAUUCUACUUUCCUUCUUCCUGCCUUCGUCCUCUAGUUCCUUUUUCUAAACCCUCCCCUACCAAGCCUGGGAAUACCUCCCCAGUCUUUCCUUGCCCCUUUCUCCUUCCCCUUUUAGCCCCCUCCUCCCUUUCUCUUGACAUUCGGGCUUCACUCUCCAGUUUCUUCUCUCAUUUAUUUUCUCUCCUUUUCUCUCUUUCUCCUCCCUCAUCCACCUCUGCACUGUUUCUCAGGUGUCUCUCCUUGUCCUAUUUCUCCCACCACCCCCAAUUUAGAUGCAGCAGAAAUCAAGCUCCAAAGACAUCAGGGAGAGCCUUGAAGGGUCUGUUCUAGGUUCUGGGGGAUACAAAAAGAGGUGAAAGCCUGCUUUCAACGAACUGGUGUUCUACUGGCAGGUAACAAAUUCAACAAGCAAAUAGAGUGUGACUUCUAGCCAUGAGAGGCUGGCUGUGGAGAGGAUACCCUGGGAGCCCCUCACAAGGGCAUGAUCCACCAUGGAUGCUGCAGCUAAGGAGAGCUAGCUGCACAAGGACUCUAUGAAGAAAGGACUUCCUGGCCCUACAAUACCACCAGAAGUUGGUCUUGUGAGAUUUCAGAAGGUAGAAGGAACAGAGUUUAAGUGGCAAGAGUCCACAUCAGAGUUUGCUGACUGCUGAGGCCCGUGUGCCAGUACGGCCCUGAGCAGCAGUCUGCUUGACCCAGCCCAGCAAUGAAUGGCUGAGAACAGCACGUCCUCCUGCAAGGCAGAGACUUGUCUAGCACUGACAGCAUUCAAAAAUGGACUUGGUGAGGACAAAUGACUUGUAAGGUGUAGCACAGGGAGUGUG